GGGGGCGCCGUCCGUUCAGGUGCUGCUGGUGCUGGGGCCGCCGCGUAUCCCGGACCCGGCCGGGUCUGCGCUUCCGAGUCGCCGCCGCCGGACCCCGGGGUGGGGUGGGGAGGAAGCCGGAGACGCCGCGCGCCACACGCGAAAGAAAAGCACCAGAAGUAAAGAAACUUUUACAGCUUUUGUUGAUUUGGCUGUUAACGCUGAUCCCCCGAAUCAAAAAAAGGUAAUCAAACUUGAAAGUUUGCAUUUUAAUUUGUAGCUUCAUUUUAAAUGAUGAGAGGAGAAAAUUGUGCAGUGUUUACCCUCCACUUGGUUGAAAAACAAAGGUUCUAAAAAGGCUAUAUUUAUAUAAUGAGUGGGUUUCUCUGUUUAAAAUCUUGUUGAGGGGGAAAAACUAACUCAGGUGUUAAGUAGUAAACUGAUGAGAACGUCAUUAAAGGUUAGCCUAAGGAAGAUAGAAGGAAAGUUGUGGGACAACUGGUCAUAGUCAGCUAUGAAAGAAAACAAUGAGGAAGGGUUCUGUGUACUGACCUGGGAAGAGCUCCAAAAUAUGUUAUGAAGUGAAAAAAAGAUGUAGGGCUGUGUGAAUAAUGUGCUGCUUUGUGUGUUAAGGGGACAGGCGAGGAAUAAGAAUACAAGCUUGCGUUUGCUUUUCUAAGUAUAAAGCGACUCUGGAAAGGGAGAAACUGCAGAACUGGUAAUGGUGGGCGAGAGGGGGAAGGAGCCUGAUGAGGGGAUGGUGGGAAAUGACGUUGUGUAUGUCUUAUUUUUAAAGUAUUUGGACUGUAUUAUGGAUUCAUAAACUAAACAGAAGUCCUUCUUUCCAAAAUAACUUGUUAUGUGUUUUUGUUUGUUGCUUAUUUCUCUUUCCUAAUUUAUGGUGAUUUUGGACAUUUUCAACAUGAUUUCUCUUAAUAUUUUUAAGGAAAAUGAGCUGUAAAAUUCAAAGAAAGCUUAGGGUAAGUUUGGCUGUCUAUGCCUCGAUUUUUAAGGUGCUGGUGUCACAUUUAAUUUUUAAAGCUGUUUAGUCACAUUUUACUUUGCCGAAAUAUGACAUCAUUUACAUUUGGCAUUAUGGCUGGAUUAUAAAGAUUUCAGAGCAUGGUUUGCCUCCUUUUUUUUUUUUUUUUUUUUCAGGAAUCAUACUUGCAUAAAAUUUGACUUUUAGUUUUUUUAACCCCAAAGUUGUCAUGACAAAUAGUUGGAGAGUAUGAGCACUCCAUUAAAAUGGUAAUAGAAUCGUUUGUCCAGGUAGUUUGCUUUGCAGAUUUGGGAAAUGCUUUUCUCAAGACAAUCAGAUAUGAACCUCAGUGACAUGUAACUUUAUAUGUAUAUUUAUUUUUAUAGUACUUUCGGGGAAUUAAAACUAGCAGUCAGUGCAGAACAUCAAAAUUUUUUUAUGGCUUAUUGAUUGCUCCACACAGUACAUGAUUUGGGGAAGGGUACUCAGAACCUCUUGGAUGCUAAUAUAAUGAAAGUAGUGAAUGUUGAGUAGUGGUUGACAGUUACUGUGGGCAUUUUCGUUAUGUUUCCAGUAUUCCUUUUUAUUUUGUACGAUAGGAUAAUUAUUUUUGUUUGACUUAGAGGUCUCUAGUCAAACUUAUGCAUAUUUUUUCAUUUGAAUUCCAUGUGGGUCUAUUCAGUCUUUUUGAAAAAAUAGAAUUGCAUUUCAAAAUUUUACUUAAAAUUUUGUUAUUGUUUUUCAAAUUAUAGAAGUAGAGUGGUGUUCAUGAGAAAUUAAAACAAUGCAGUGUAUAUGUACGUGAAGCAGCCUUUGCACGUGUCCACCUCUUCUCACAUCUCUGCAGAAAUGACUGCUGUUAACAGUGUUGUAUAACCUUCGAGUUCUUUUUCUGUGCAUUUACAAACAUGAAUUUUCAGUCUUGAGAACUGAAUUGUCUUGUUUUGUCCGCUUGUUUGCCUUCAAUGUGAGCUCUGUUAGUGUCACAGGUCAGGGAAAUGACCUGGAGUGUGUCAGAAAGUUUAACAUAUAGUAUGCGCCUUAGGACAGUCUCAUCUUUUCACUGGUGAGGGGCUGGUUAGUUUGGGGCACAGUUACGGUUUGUAGUGAGCUCUCACUGUUGUGAGCUUUAAUCUGAUGUGGAUUGAAUUUACCUUUAGACUUAGAGUCCGUGGCUUUUAUAGGACUCUUUAGGGUCCACAUUUCUAGGGUUUUGACCUGGUCAGUAGCUCACAGGUUAAACUGCUUUUGUUCUCCUGCAUGUGCGGGCCAAUAGAAAACUACUUAGGUUCCACCAGCCUGUCCUGGUCUCUGGAGUGAAACUACACAGGUCUGUCCUUAACUAGGAGACAUUGACUUGGAAUGCAGCCUUGGAAGGGGAGAGGGAGCAGAGGCAGUCAGGUCUGGUUUGUCCUAUAAUGACAGCAGACAAGUCGUAUGUACACCCCACCCACCCCUGGCCCCCUGCACAGAGAAGACUGCCUUUCUAACCAAGCUGCAAAUAAUUGCCAAGACUUAAUUCCUUUUAGGUGAUAGAAAGUUGAGUAUUAGUCAAGACUACUAAACUAGGUGAGCUAUAUAGAAAGAUGCAGUACAGUUGACCCUGCCCUGAGCAUAUUUGAAGUCUAGUGUCUUUAACAUUGUGGUUGCCAAAGGGGAGGGAGUGGGACAGAUGGGAGUCUGGGGUUAGUAGAUGCAAACUAUUGCAUUUGGAGUGAAUAAGUGACAAGAUUCUGCUGUAUAGCACAGGGAACUAUAUCUAGUCACUUGUGAUGGAACAUGAUGGAGGAUAAUGUGAGAAAAAGAAUGUAUAUAUCUAUAGUAUAACUGAGUUACUUUGUUGUUCAGCAGAAAUUGAC
RNAcentral lists this long non-coding RNA (2820 nucleotides) under Sus scrofa (pig). RNAcentral describes it as "lncRNA (ENSSSCG00025004737.1)". The record is from RNAcentral. Lineage: Eukaryota; Metazoa; Chordata; Mammalia; Artiodactyla; Suidae.